CGGGGCGUAGCGCAGCUUGGCUAGCGCGCCACGUUCGGGACGUGGAGGUCGGAGGUUCAAAUCCUCUCGCCCCGACUA
Molecule: transfer RNA, 78 nt
Filed under: Actinomycetota bacterium
Lineage: Bacteria; Bacillati; Actinomycetota
Description: tRNA-Pro
Rfam family: tRNA
About the family: Transfer RNA (tRNA) molecules are approximately 80 nucleotides in length. Their secondary structure includes four short double-helical elements and three loops (D, anti-codon, and T loops).
Source: RNAcentral